GACGAACGCUGGCGGCGUGCUUAACACAUGCAAGUCGAACGGAAAGACCCUGCUUUUUUGGGGUGCUCGAUUGGCGAACGGGUGAGUAACACGUGAGUAACCUGCCCUUGACUUUGGGAUAACUUCAGGAAACUGGGGCUACUACAGUAUAGCAGCUCACGUUGCAUUGUGGGGGUGGGAAAGUUUCGGCGGUUGGGGUUGGACUGGCGGCUUAUCAGCUUGUUGGUGGGGUAGUGGCUUACCAAGGCUUUGACGGGUAGCCGGCCUGAGAGGGUGACCGGCGACAUGGGGACUAAGGGAGGGACCAGACUGCAACAGGGGGCAGUAGGGGGAAGUAUUGCACAAUGGGAGGAAGCCGGAUGAGGCAGCGUCGGGUGCGGGAUGACGGCCUUUGGGUUAAAAACAGCUGCCGCCUGUGACGAAGCGUGAGUGACGGUAAUGAGAAAAGAAGCACCGGCUAACUACGUG
This 468-nucleotide ribosomal RNA is filed under the name uncultured bacterium. Its description in RNAcentral is "partial 16S ribosomal RNA". It matches the Rfam family "Bacterial small subunit ribosomal RNA", at positions 28 to 507 of the family's 1533-position model. The record is from RNAcentral.